AUUGAACGCUGGCGGCAGGCUUAACACAUGCAAGUCGAGCGGAAACGAUGAUAGCUUGCUAUCAGGCGUCGAGCGGCGGACGGGUGAGUAACGCGUAGGAAUCUGCCCAGUAGAGGGGGACAACAUGUGGAAACGCAUGCUAAUACCGCAUACGCCCUUAGGGGGAAAGGAGGGGAUCUUAGGACCUUCCGCUAUUGGAUGAGCCUGCGUGAGAUUAGCUAGUUGGUGGGGUAAAGGCUUACCAAGGCGACGAUCUCUAACUGGUCUGAGAGGAUGACCAGUCACACUGGGACUGAGACACGGCCCAGACUCCUACGGGAGGCAGCAGUGGGGAAUAUUGGACAAUGGGCGCAAGCCUGAUCCAGCCAUGCCGCGUGUGUGAAGAAGGCCUUAGGGUUGUAAAGCACUUUCAGGAGUGAGGAAGGGCGUUUGGUUAAUACCUGAAUGUCUUGACGUUAGCUCCAGAAGAAGCACCGGCUAACUCUG
Molecule: ribosomal RNA, 486 nt
Filed under: uncultured Marinomonas sp.
Lineage: Bacteria; Pseudomonadati; Pseudomonadota; Gammaproteobacteria; Oceanospirillales; Oceanospirillaceae
Description: bacterial SSU rRNA
Rfam family: Bacterial small subunit ribosomal RNA
Source: RNAcentral